UACGGAGGGAGCUAGCGUUGUUCGGAAUUACUGGGCGUAAAGCGCACGUAGGCGGCUAUUCAAGUCGGGGGUGAAAUCCCGGGGCUCAACCCCGGAACUGCCCUCGAAACUAGAUAGCUAGAAUCUUGGAGAGGCGAGUGGAAUUCCGAGUGUAGAGGUGAAAUUCGUAGAUAUUCGGAAGAACACCAGUGGCGAAGGCGGCUCACUGGCCCGGUACUGACGCUGAGGUGCGAAAGCGUGGGGAGCAAACAGG
RNAcentral lists this ribosomal RNA (253 nucleotides) under uncultured bacterium. Its description in RNAcentral is "partial 16S ribosomal RNA". It matches the Rfam family "Bacterial small subunit ribosomal RNA", at positions 524 to 776 of the family's 1533-position model. The record is from RNAcentral.